This is an RNA transcript of Pezoporus occidentalis (night parrot), 3544 nucleotides long. RefSeq lists it as uncharacterized. The record is from RefSeq and is a predicted model, not a curated record. Lineage: Eukaryota; Metazoa; Chordata; Aves; Psittaciformes; Psittacidae. The transcript has 5 exons.
GUCUCUUGUGUUACUGCUCCUUAAGGUCACUCCUUAACUUUGCAUGCCUGUACCCUCCUGGUUUGUAUUCCCUCCCAACGGGCAGUAGGGGUUUUAAAGAAAAGUGCCUGGCAUUGGGAGAGUUGUCCCUUUGCCACACGUGGCAGGGCUUGGAGAUCUCAAGAUCACACCUGAGAUCUGUCAAAUAAAUGUAAAUGGAUUUAACACCUGGAUUCGGAAGGAUCUAAGUAGGAUGUGGGUAGAAAAACUCUGUACUAAAACCUGAACACACAGCUACCAUUCUCAGGCAUCCUAUCUCUCCUAGGUACACAGGUCAAUAUCCUGAGGAGCCCUGUCUGUAUCAAAGCUUUCUCUGGUUGCUGUGCUUAGAUGUGGACUGAAAAGGGCCCAGCAUAUCAGUUCCCUAUAAGGGAAAUUCUGUCCCUGUCUGCCAGUUUGACUGUAGCAAUAGGGGCACAGGGUCCAUAGGGAGACUUCCGUCACGUGUGAAACAGAGCAUGGCAGAGAAAGGCAGACAUAAAGGGAAAAAAAGUGGGAGGACAAGUAGAUGAAAGACAACGUGUGUUUGGGAGUAGCAGGAAAAGGGAAACCUUGACACAGUUGAUUAUUGUGCUCAUUUAAAAAAAAAAAAAAGGGGGGAAAGCUCAGAAGUUUUGGGGUUUUCAUUCCAUGCCAAAUAAACAGAGUAGGUUGCUUCAUUGUCCGCUGCCUCAAUUUUGUUUUUUGCAGCAUAGAUUCCUGGAUUUGCUUAAAGGAAUACAGCAUUUAUGUGAGAAUGCACUUUACCACAGUAUAUAUAUUUGCAAAGAUUGCAAGGCUUGCAGGUGUGUAUCCUCCAGGACAUGCUCUGAAGAGUUCAGCAGAAGAGGAGAGGAGCUGGAACCAGCCACUGGAGAAGCCCUGUAGUCCACACCCAUGCAGCCCUCAACCUGUCCUUCCCUGCAUAAUCUCUGGGGGGUCUCCCAGGCAGGAAAACUUCCCCAAGAAGCAGCACAGUGAAAGCCCUACCCAGCCACCAGCACAGUUGUACUCAUGCUUGCUGCUGCUUUCUGAUUCAAUUAAUGCUUUCAUUCAUUUAUGUGCAUGGAUUAUUUCAUCAUAGCGUAUCAGCUAAUGCAGUUGAGAUUCCUGUUCCACAUCAUUGUGUUUACUGUCAGCAGAGAGGAAAGGGAUGCUUCAAAUUCCCGCAAGUCAAGAGACUGGGGAAAUCAGCUCUGGAUCAUGUCUCUUUUGAGUUGGUGCUCAAAACCUCUGGGACAUUACAUAAAUAGGCGAUGCCUCUUCCUAUUGCAUUUUCUAAGUUCCUAGCAGCAGGCUGGAGUUGGGCAUCCUGACUAGAAAAUGGCACCUCUGUCAUUCAGAAAAGGACAACUCAUUGUCUAAGAAGGGCUUAACCUUUACCCUCCCUUUGGCACCUCCAGCAGCUGCAGAGGCAAUUUUCUAUUUGCUUUUAUGAAUCAUAUCCUGAGGUACCUUGCUUUCCCUGUCUGUUGCAUAGGAAGUUUGAAUGCUUAACUUUUCUUUUUAUAUUACAUAGGGUGAAGAAGUGCCUGAAGUCAUAAUGUGCAGCUCUCAGUAUCACAAUAGCUAAAUCCUUCUGUGGGCCAAGAUCUUUUUCCCUAACUGGGUGGGAGCUGGACUCCUAUCUUCUGUGUGGACCCAUGCAAAAUUACUGCAGAGGUGUCCCACAUGGGUUGGGCUGCAUUGUCUGCUCUCUCAGCCCACCAAAUGGCGAGUUGCACCAACUGAGUACCUGGCAUGUCGCUUUGUAUCCAAGGAAACAUAUUCCAGUGAGACCUGGCAGUACCAGGAGCAGGGUGCUGUACCCUGAUGUUCUCCUUCUUGCAGUGCCCCUGUACUGACUGAGCACACUGCAACCUCAGUGGGCUGAGAGGCAGUUCAGACACUAACCUCCCACUCAGACAUCAUCCUGUUCUUCAUUUGUGGAAGUGAGCUUGGGCCUGUCAUAGUCUGGGAAUCUGCUUCAGUGACAGUUGUGGAUGCAGCUGUGAACUCCUGUUGCUGUCUGGCAUUUAUCCCAGGGCAUUCAGGAGACCAUGGACUUCACAUAGGCAAGUACUGUUUUCUGGAAACUUUCCUGAAACUUGUUACAGCAUAUAUCCAGGGAUAGGUGGCUAUGACAGAAAGGAUUAGGAAAAUGCAGAACUGGGAAAGUCCUUCAGGUAAUAUGGCUAGAGCUGCUUUCCUAUGUGAAACUAGUUAUAAGCCCACAUUCAUACAACAUAAUCUGAGUUAAUAAUAGUAGCUCUAAGACAAAAAUACAUGUUGUCAAAGAGCACAUACAUGCUGAGAAGAGCAGUUAUAGACUGAAAUGGGCUUUCUCUCCUGGGAAUUCCAACUAGUCUGCAGUGACCUAGACACUUUCUGUUUGCUCUUACAGAAUAAAACCAGGAGAAAAAUAAUUCACUUAAAUUAUAUAUCUUUAUAAUCCUUAUUCAACCUCAUCCUUUUUUUUAUUUUUUUUCCAUACAAAAAGCAGCAGGGACUCUGUCCAAAUGGAUACCUGUUUGCCAUGGAGUGAUAGUUUUACCUCAUGAUGAACUAUGUGCCAGUUACUAUAAAGAUCUACACUGGUAGGAUGGAUUAAAAAUAAAUGGCCCAUUUAGUGUGUUGUACAAAUUUCUCCCAAAAUAAUAUCAGUGGUCUUGCCUGAUGUGCAAAUAGGGCCAUUGUCCUAAAUGGGUUGCUUGCUAAACCCCACUUCCUUACAGGUGCUGCCAGGAAAAUAUAAACAACAAAUGGAUGAGACUUCAGACUGACAGCUAGAGACAAAGGCUGCUGUCAGAGGCACAAGGGGGAGGACAAACAAAGCUGAAAUGUGCCUUGCUCCACAUUCUGUGUCUUCGCAUGCGAGGAGUCCUUGAGAUCCCUUCUGCACCAGGGCAGCAUGUGCAACAGCACAUCAGCAGCUGCUGUAUUUUGAAAUCACUAUGGAGGGAUGCUGUGCUAUUGCUCCAGCCCCUCUGAAGGGGUCAAGAGUCUGGUGUUGCUUUCUCUUAUCUUCUUGCUUUUUCUUGUUUCUGGUUUAUUCAGUCAGCAUAGGGUCAAUCAAGUAGUAACGUGGGAAGUGGUUUAACUCAGGUGGAACAUACACCUGAGCUCUAAUUCAUGUUCCUAUGUAAACAUGGUUGUCUCGCAGCCACAGGCCAGGAUUAGAGGUGCUACAUCACAGACAUUUUAUUCUCUCUAUUGUAUUUGCUUUGCCUCCCAUUGAGCUGUUGUCAGGAGCUACCAAUGAGCUGCAUUAAUUGUUCUUUCUUAUGUGUGUUUGUAUGAAAGCUGUGUUUUAAAGUAUGUCACCUAAAAUGUGUUUGUAUAAAAUGUGUUUAUAAACUUGUUUAUAAACUUUACUUAUGAAAAGGGUUAUAGACUGAAGUAUAAAAGACUGGUUGGCAGUCUUGGGUAGUUGACAGAACUUCAUUUACGAUAGAUAAAUGCAUUGUUGUUACUCAAACUAAGCAGCAUUCAAGCUAUUCAUGGAAUGGCAUUCAUCUUUAAUAAAUAUUUUACAUAAUACAUGCAA